GUCUUUUAUAGCUUAAACUAAAGCAUUACUUUGAAGUAGUAAGGAUAAGUAACACUUUAAAGACA
This 65-nucleotide transfer RNA is filed under the name Haematopinus asini. RNAcentral describes it as "tRNA-Phe". The record is from RNAcentral. Lineage: Eukaryota; Metazoa; Arthropoda; Insecta; Psocodea; Haematopinidae.